Molecule: small nucleolar RNA, 98 nt
Filed under: Trichobilharzia regenti
Lineage: Eukaryota; Metazoa; Platyhelminthes; Trematoda; Strigeidida; Schistosomatidae
Description: Small nucleolar RNA U3
Rfam family: Small nucleolar RNA U3
About the family: Small nucleolar RNAs (snoRNAs) are involved in the processing and modification of rRNA in the nucleolus. There are two main classes of snoRNAs: the box C/D class, and the box H/ACA class.
Source: Rfam by way of RNAcentral
GAGAUCGUACUUCUAGGGAUCAGUCCUAUAGUACGUAUCGCCAGGAAGUCAAACAAACUUGACACUGGCUAACCAACCGUGAUGAUGAUCAGUGCGGC